CCCGGGCCUUGUACACACCGCCCGUCACGUCACGAAAGUCGGCAACACCCGAAGCCGGUGGCCUAACCCCGUGAGGGGAGGGAGCUGUCGAAGGUGGGGCUGGCGAUUGGGACG
RNAcentral lists this ribosomal RNA (114 nucleotides) under uncultured bacterium. RNAcentral describes it as "partial 16S ribosomal RNA". It matches the Rfam family "Bacterial small subunit ribosomal RNA", at positions 1373 to 1482 of the family's 1533-position model. The record is from RNAcentral.